UCUAGGAAGUGAGGAGUGUCUCUGCCCGGCCGCCCAUCGUCUGAGAUGUGGGGAGCGCCUCUGCCCCGCCGCCCCCUCUGGGACGUGAGGAGCGCCUCUGCCCGGCCGAGACCCCGUCUGGGAGGUGAGGAGCGUCUCUGCCCGGCCGCCCCAUCUGAGAAGUGAGGAGACCCUCUGCCUGGCAACCACCCCGUCUGAGAAGUGAGGAGCCCC
This 213-nucleotide long non-coding RNA is filed under the name Homo sapiens (human). RNAcentral describes it as "HSALNT0308454". The record is from RNAcentral. Lineage: Eukaryota; Metazoa; Chordata; Mammalia; Primates; Hominidae.